AGGUGGGACCCUGAGGAAGGGGGAGUUAGCCGAUAACUAACUCUUAGUUAGUUCAACUCUAGCCCCAUCUU
RNAcentral lists this transfer RNA (71 nucleotides) under Amphiura sp. JN-2020. Its description in RNAcentral is "tRNA-Ile". Lineage: Eukaryota; Metazoa; Echinodermata; Ophiuroidea; Amphilepidida; Amphiuridae. The record is from RNAcentral.